CGGGACGGGUGAGUAACGCGUGGGUAACCUGCCUUAUACUGGGGGAUAACAGCCAGAAAUGACUGCUAAUACCGCAUAAGCGCACAGAACCGCAUGGUUCGGUGUGAAAAACUCCGGUGGUAUAAGAUGGACCCGCGUUGGAUUAGCUGGUUGGCAGGGCAGCGGCCUACCAAGGCGACGAUCCAUAGCCGGCCUGAGAGGGUGAACGGCCACAUUGGGACUGAGACACGGCCCAGACUCCUACGGGAGGCAGCAUG
This 257-nucleotide ribosomal RNA is filed under the name uncultured bacterium. RNAcentral's name for it is "partial 16S ribosomal RNA". It matches the Rfam family "Bacterial small subunit ribosomal RNA", at positions 98 to 353 of the family's 1533-position model. The record is from RNAcentral.